Mauremys mutica (yellowpond turtle) is the source of this 787-nucleotide long non-coding RNA. RefSeq lists it as uncharacterized. The transcript is spliced from 3 exons. The record is from RefSeq and is a predicted model, not a curated record. NCBI's taxonomy places the organism in Eukaryota, Metazoa, Chordata, Testudines, Geoemydidae.
GUUUGUGUUAGAAUUGGAGUUUGAAUAUUACUUCAUGGAUGGAUCACUGACCACUGCAAUAUGAGGUCCAGACCAUCUCACCUCUUGAUUUGCCAGGGGGCUCUAAGGGAGAAUAUUGCCAGCAGACAACUCAAGAUUUUUAUGCAGUGGCUGAGAGGCUGGAAAAGAAGAGUAUAGCUGGGGAGAGAGGCAUUUGAAUGACAAUUCAUUCACCUUUCCUCUCAGUCCUUGUCUUCCUCAUGUACAAUGGCUGAUCAAUGAUACUGGUAUGUAUAGCUGUCACUAUUAAAAGGCACACCGGACAACAGACCAUACAGUUACCAUGGCAACAAACAGUAGCCACCAUUUUCUUCUAUUCUUCAAGAUAUCUGUAUCUCAAUUACCACUGUGUGGUCAACUGUGGCAAAUCCUGUUUUUGUUUUUAUUGGAGACCAUUGUAUGAUUUUAAGGUGUGAGUACCAUACAGUAAAGUGAGCAUAAAGGAAUCCUACAGGAGAUAAAAUGUCUCUAAGGCACAGAGACAAAUAAGAGCACUGCAGUGAAUUGAAAAUAAAGCUGUUGGAUAUGAAAUCUGAAUCAGGAGGCUUGCUGUGUAAGGACUGGGGCCUGAGACUGGUGCACCUAUUGGGAUAUAGACACAGAGUGCAAGCACCUCAUUUCUUGUAAUAUAUGUGUAGAAAACCCCAGAAUAAAGUAAGGCUAACAUUUAGUCUCUUCUGGAGUUUCCUGCUUUUCCUUUUGCUUGAGUGGCACUAACCUUAACAGGGCUGAGGAACAAACCACAACA